Molecule: long non-coding RNA, 1123 nt
Filed under: Mus musculus (house mouse)
Lineage: Eukaryota; Metazoa; Chordata; Mammalia; Rodentia; Muridae
Description: long non-coding RNA chrX:101600192-101601315
Source: RNAcentral
UCAGACCUUUGCAGUGCAAAGGUUAAAUAAGAGCUUGCCAUCAAGUUGGGGCAGUGAGACUGGAAUUCAAACAAUGUUAAUUAAUCAGAGAACUCUAAGUACAAUUAAGAAGCUAGCUGUAAGGUACAAAGGAAAAAAAUUAGAAUCAUGUGUGGAAAAGCAGAGUUUUCUAGAGGCUACCUGAAUGCUGAUUGUUGAGAAGUUAUAGAGUACCAUCUCAGCAGGGUGUUAACAUGAAGGGAAAGUUCACAGUCUAGAUGUGACAGAAUGUGUUCCUUGUUUGUACCUGCCUUGUUUCAGAAAAAGGAUGCUGGAGUGACUAGACAUGACACUGAAAGACGGACAGGAAGCAUAUCUUCAAGAGCUUUGCAUUUGAGCUAGGCAUGGUGGCACAUGCCUUUAAUCCCAGCACUUGAGAGACAGAGGCAGGCAGAUUUCUGAGUUCGAGGCCAGCCUGGUCUACAGAGUGAGUUCCAGGACAGCCGGGGCUACACAGAGAAACCCUGUCUCAAAAAACAAAACAGAAAAACAAAGAAAUUUUCAGAAUGUUGAAUGAAGAUAGAAAUUGAGUCAAGUAAUAAACAUGUAUGAUUCAGUUUGUCUAGAAGUCAAAAAUUGGGUAUAUAUGAUAUGCUUGUAUAUACUUGUAUGUGCAAAGGAAAAGAUAUGAAAGAAUGUACAUUAAAGUGUUAGCAGUGAUAGCCUCUGAGGGAUGGGAAUGGAGAGGAGGUGGUUUGUUUGGUUUAUGUACAGUAGGUAAGUGUUAUGCUUUUAUUUCUGUAUCUUAGUUUUAUAAUGUGUAUUAUUUUUUGUAAUAAAAUGUUAAUUUAACAGCAAUAGAAUCGAGAGUGAUUUUAAGUAGUCCAAGCUAAGGAGGUGGAAUCUAAAGUUCAAUGGUGCCAUUGGAAUGAAGGGAAGGGGAAUGGCAUUAAGGCAUCUUCAGAAAGGGGUGUGAUCAAUAGGACUUCAUAACCAGUUGGCACUUGAGACUCAAAAGGAGAACUAGAAUAGGUUUCUAGAAUUUUGACUUGAGAAAUUAAAUAGGUACAUGAUAUUCAUUUUUAUAUUGCUCAUAUUUAAUUUAUAUUUAUUUUUAAUUAAAAUAAAAUUAUAUCGUUUCUUC